RNAcentral lists this non-coding RNA (24 nucleotides) under Arabidopsis thaliana (thale cress). Lineage: Eukaryota; Viridiplantae; Streptophyta; Magnoliopsida; Brassicales; Brassicaceae. The record is from RNAcentral.
ACUAUUAUGGUAAGUAUGGUGUAU